GGCCGCACUGCUGCUCCCUUGUGGUCGUCGCUGUCGUCUUGUGGGAGGCUAGUCCGCUCGCUCGCGCAGCUGUCUGACGGUCGGUCGGUGUGUCGGUCCGCCCGGGGCCUGUCUGCGGGCCUUCUCCGCGCACGCCCUCUCCGGGCAGCUGAGCCCGGCCCGUCCCGGCCCCGCGCGCGUCCCCGGGCGGAGUGUGGGGCAGCUGCGUGGGGCGCGGGGGAUGCGGCGCGAGCGCAGCCUGGGGCUGGGGGCGCCUGCCGAGCCUGCCUGACCCCGACAGGCUGCUGUCCCUGAGCCCCAGGAGCAGCACCCGCUCCUCUGGGCCUGGCCUGGGGCCCGGGAGGCUGCAGAGGUGCCCACGCCUCCAGGGGACGCUGCCGAGGGGCGCCAUGGAGACCCCUGCCGCGAAACCCCAGGAGACAGAUCUCUGCUCAAACUCCGAUUCACAUACCUGGCUGUGUACCUGGCGCUUCCACUUGGAUAUCUAAGACUCUUCACCUUCGAUGUCUAAAGUGACUCCCGCCCUCUCCGCAGACCUCGUUCCUCUGCGCUGUUUCCCAUCUCAACAAUGUAUCCAGGUUCUGAGCCUUCUCAGUUCUCCCCUGCUCGGCACUGUCCCUCCCUGGAUUGUUGGAACAGCCCCUCCGCCGUCUCCCUGCUUCUACUUGUCCCACCGCCGACCUGCUCUCCACACAGUACUGGACCAUCCUGGUACAGGGUGGGCCAGACCACGUCCCCUGCCUGCUGUGAAUCCUCCGUGGACUCCUGUCCCCAGAGUGGAAGCCGAGGUCUCACCAUGCACGGCCUCUGAGGUCCUGUGCCAUCUGAUCCCCAGUUGUGAGUUCCAGCUCCAUCUCCUCUCCCUCCCUCCCCCAACGUCACUGGUCACACUGGCAUCUGCUGUAUCUGGAACUAGGCACGCUCCAGGUGCUAGUCCCUCUGUCGGAGAUGCUUUCUCCCAGAUAUCCACGUGGCUGGCUUCCUCGCUCUUUGUGACCUUCUCAUAAGGAAGCCUUUUCUGGACAUCGUCUCUAAGAUUGUAGCCCUUCCUUGCUUUAUUUUUCUCCUUAUCUCUUCAGUGUCUGUAUUAAUUAUCUAUUCCUGCAUAAUAAAUUACCCUGAAUUUUAGAGACUUAAAGCAACAAUAAACAUUUUUUAUUUCAC
Molecule: long non-coding RNA, 1164 nt
Filed under: Equus asinus (donkey)
Lineage: Eukaryota; Metazoa; Chordata; Mammalia; Perissodactyla; Equidae
Description: lncRNA (ENSEASG00005034655.1)
Source: RNAcentral